AAUCUCCCUUAUAUUAAUUUAUUAAAAAUCUUAACAUCUCUUGUAAUAAAAUAUUGUGCCCACAUCACCAACCUUAUUGUAUCACAUAAAAUCUCUAAAACGAAGGAAGAAGACCCAAUAUGCAGCCAAAACUGACUAGCUAGACAAGGUUAUGACAUGAGCAUGAGCAAUGCUAUUGUUUAAUUUGAUCAUAUCGACACGAUACUACUGUCCAAAUCCAGUGAUUUUUGGUGGAAAUCGGCUUAAGGCAAUAUCGACAUUCUAGAUGCUUUCACAUGAUUGUGCAUGACGAGGGAUUAUCUUCACAGACAUAUUCACAUCUGCACACAUAGUAACCGCUUCUUUGGCAACCACAGCCGCCGCCGCCGCCGCCACCCCAAUUAUCAUACACUGGCCUUCCAUAAGCUUCAUAACUCGGGGGUGCUGGCCUACCAUAGUCAUGAUAACAUGGGCCUCCACUAAUCCCAUGGUAGCAUUCAGCACAACAUGUCCUUGGGGGGACUGGUUCCGGAGCUUUAGGUGGUGGUGGUGCCGGGUUUGGAGCUGGGUUUGGGGCCGGUUCUUUGGGUUUUGGUGUUUCAACAAUAAGCGCUUUAGGCUUCUCCGGUUCUUUGGGUUUCUCCGGUUCUUUGGGCUUCUCCGGUUCUUUGGGUUUCUCCGGUUCUUUGGGCUUCUCCGGUUCUUUGGGUUUCUCCGGUUCUUUGGGCUUCUCUGGUUCUUUGGGUUUCUCCGGUUCUUUGGGCUUCUCUGGUUGCUUAGGCUUCUCAGGUUCUUUCGGCUUCUCCGGUUCUUUGGGUUUCUCUGGUGCUGCUUUGGGAUUCUCUGGUGCUUUGGGUUUCUCUGGAACCUUGAUCUCAAUGCUCUUGACAGCUUCACCUCCUUUACAGACUAUCUUUUCCUUGAUCUUUUCAGGACUGCAACAUACCACAGUGAUGGUCACUGUGCCUGCCUUCUUGUCAUAUAUCUGGUUCUGAAUUUCUCUUGUUCACAAUCCACAAAAAUUAACCACUUAGCCACUUUCAUUUCAUCUUGAAACAGCUCAAACUAAGUUAUAAUACAUGGAGAAGCUAGGAGGCACUCACGAGGGAUUCUACACAGUACUUUCUUGAUUUUCUUGUGGCAUUUCUCGCAUUCAAGGUCAACCUUCAUCACCAUUAUUGUGACUUUCUGCAAUAGGAGCACAUAAAAACAAGGACAAAAUUUCUAAGCCAGGAAGAAUAUUGAAAGGACUGGAACACUUUCUGACAUGGAAGGAUAUUGAUCAGUAAAGAUAAUGAAAAAGAAGAUGAGGUCCGUAGGGCCAAAAACAAGGACCACCGCAUAAAAAGAAUAAAAACCCAGACGAAUGGGCUAAAUAAAAGAUAAAUCGAAACCAAGAAAAGAAGAAGAAGGAAAUAUAUCAAAAUCUCCACAUCCAUCCAUGCACAUACCUUUUCAGCCAUGGUUUUGUCCAAGCCUUGAUCUGAGCCUGAUGAGAUGAUAGAAUUGAGAGCAGAGUGAAGGAACGGACCAGAGGGUCAGAGGGAGAUUGAGAUACGAAAAGGAGGCUUAUAAAAUGAAGAUUGAUCACAACUUAAGUAGUAGAAGUGUGGGGACAUAGUUUAAAUACCGCGCAUCUAGUAGGCAAUAAGAAGAGAACACGUGGCAUUGGGUGUUGAGCUUGACGUAAUAUUGUCGUUUCAUUUUUAAUUGCUGACCCUCCGAUCAUGCACAUGCAUGUGCUGGCUUUGAUGGACACAUCUCACCUUCAAUUUUGUUAAUCAUUUCGAAGGUUGUAGUGCAUCCUACGGCGCAUUAGUUUAGUCAUGUCAAUAAAUGAGCCAUGCAACCCCCAUGACAACCGUACACGUGUCCCCAAAAAACUCCCCUCAUAAAAUUAAAAAUCUUCAAUUAAUAUUUCCAUAUCUCAUGUGUAAAAGAAUUUAGAAAACAUGAAUUAUUGUAUUUAUUAUUUUACCAUGAAUAUGAGAAAUGAGAAAUUAGAAACCCAAGUCGUAAAGCAAGUAGCUCAUCGUUUUAUCUUAUCCCUAUGUGUGGAUAUAAAGAAGAAAGUUAACAAAUUGUGGGCCCAGAAGUUGCGUCCAUGAGUGCCAACUUUGAAAGCUGAGGCAGGUUUAACUAACCGUUUGAAAUUGCGUUCAACUGCUUUUUAAAAAAAAACAUUUAUUUUUAAAUUUUUAUUUUAUAUAUCUUUAGAUUAUUUUACGAUGGCAUGAAGAAUAAAUUCAAAAAAAAAUUCAAAAAACAAUCCCAGCAAAAUCAUUAUUGCUUUCCAGAAUUGUUGAGAGGAAUCACAUGAAUCUAAUUUGAAGUUUGGGCCUCUACUCUGCAGGUCAUGAAAGUAGAGAAUCCAAGGAAAGCCAUGUGCCAGUCCAUUAUCUAUGUUUUCUGAAUGACAAACUGGGUUUCAUUAACACUGAGCUUAGCCCAUGUUUCACAGGGCAUAUUAAUCAGCCCAUCACUUCCAUGGCUAUACCAGGACUGGCUAAGAAGCCCGGAGGCUAAAACAGGCCUGCAAGCAACACAUAUUGCUUUGCUCCGGGUCAAAUAUUAUUCUUUCUAGUAGAAAGAAUGAAUAAAUAUGUUUUUUUUAUUAUGUUUUUUAAUUUAAAAAAUUCUUAUUUUAAACAAAAAAAAACUUUAUAUAUUCAUCCAAUUAAAUAAAUUGAAAAUUUGAUUGUAUAACCAUAGUUGAUGUAGAAUCUGGCUCGAACCAAGUUUUAUAUUAUUGGAGUGACUGUUCGCUCGAUUAACCUAGAUGAUGAGACUCAACUUGAUAAAUUACUUGGAUUUUUUAAAUGUGUAUUAAAAAUAACAUUUUUAGACUUUUUUUUAACCAAAACAAUAUCAUUUUAUGAUAUAUCUGGAUUGAUAUAUGAUAAACUUUCUAACCCAUUAAACAUUUAUUUACAACGUGAGAGAAUAGGAAUCCCAUAUAUUGACCCGAAGGAGAUGCUGAUUGAUAACGUUUACAAACAAAAGCCAUCGACCAGUUACUGUCAGAAAUUAAAGAAAGCAAAUAGAAAGUGAAUGGAAAGGAGAUGACCAUCACUAUAUAUAUACAAAUAGCAGUGAUUAUGGAAGCUUUAAAAUCCCUUAUAUUAAUUUAUUAAAAAUCUUAACAACUCUUGUAAUAAAAUAUUGUUCCCACAUGAUCACCAACCUUAUUGUAUCACAUAAAAUCUUUAUAACGAAGGAAGAAGACCCAAUAUGCAGCCAAAACUGACUAGCUAGACAAGGUUAUGACAUGAGCAUGGGUAAUGCUAUUGUUUAAUUUGAUCAUAUCGACACGAUACUACUGUCCAAAUCCAGUGAUUUUAGGUGGAGAUCGGCUUAAAGCAUCGACAUUCUUGAUGCUUUCACAUGAUUGUGCAUGACGAGGGAUUAUCUUCACAAACAUAUUCACAUCGGCACGCAUAGUAACCGCUUCUUUGGCAACCACAGCCGCCGCUGCCACCCCAACUAUCAUGCACUGGCCUUCCAUAAAUUUCAUA
RNAcentral lists this long non-coding RNA (3494 nucleotides) under Populus trichocarpa (black cottonwood). RNAcentral's name for it is "long non-coding RNA (PTRI_LNC001647)". The record is from RNAcentral. Lineage: Eukaryota; Viridiplantae; Streptophyta; Magnoliopsida; Malpighiales; Salicaceae.